GACGAACGCUGGCGGCGUGCUUAACACAUGCAAGUCGAACGGUGAAGGGACCGGUUUUUGCUGGUUCUGGAUGAGUGGCGAACGGGUGAGUAACACGUGAGUAACCUGCCCCCUUCUUCUGGAUAACCGCAUGAAAGUGUGGCUAAUACGGGAUAUUCUGCGCCUGCUGCAUGGUGGGUGUGGGAAAGAUAUUGUUUCGGUGGGGGAUGGGCUCGCGGCCUAUCAGCUUGUUGGUGGGGUGAUGGCCUACCAAGGCGGUGACGGGUAGCCGGCCUGAGAGGGUGGACGGUCACACUGGGACUGAGACACGGCCCAGACUCCUACGGGAGGCAGCAGUGGGGAAUAUUACACAAUGGGCGCAAGCCUGAUGCAGCGACGCCGCGUGAGGGAUGGAGGCCUUCGGGUUGUAAACCUCUUUCGCCAGUGAAGCAGGCCUGUCCCUUUUGUGGGUGGGUUGACGGUAGCUGGAUAAGAAGCGCCGGCUAACUACGUG
RNAcentral lists this ribosomal RNA (493 nucleotides) under uncultured bacterium. RNAcentral describes it as "partial 16S ribosomal RNA". It matches the Rfam family "Bacterial small subunit ribosomal RNA", at positions 28 to 507 of the family's 1533-position model. The record is from RNAcentral.